Molecule: long non-coding RNA, 12638 nt
Filed under: Cricetulus griseus (Chinese hamster)
Lineage: Eukaryota; Metazoa; Chordata; Mammalia; Rodentia; Cricetidae
Description: lncRNA (ENSCGRG00015040786.1)
Source: RNAcentral
GGAAGCAAGUACCAGGAUGGAGCACAGACUGAGGAGCACUGCCCUGGAGGAGCGGAGGAAGAGGAUGCUGGAGAGAUCUAUGCAGGCGACAGAAGUGAAAUGCAUCUUCACCUCAGCAGGCCUUCCUGGGAAGAAUCUGGGAUCAUGGACUGCAUGGCCUGGUGAUAUAGGCAGUCCUUCCUUGGCGUCACUCUUGUGGGCUGCACUUCUCCCCUGGAAAUCUGAGGACCCCACUCCACUGGACAGCCCCAUGCUUACACUGACUACAGUGCAGGAAGGAAUGCUUUGUGGAGCAACUGGAAGAUACCAGAGACAUGGUUUAAUAGCCAACCAUCUACUGACCAGGCUAGCUAUGUCCCAGUGUCUCAUCAGCAGGAAGGGGUCAUUGCCAGUAGUGUGGAUCCUCUGUCAUUCUCAAGAACCAUGAUUGGGACUUGAAUGUGAAACCCGGGAGGGCCCAGGCUCAUGUGUUUGAACACUUGGUCCCCAGCAGGUGGCGCUGUGGAAAGCUGUGGAGCCUUUAGGAAGUGGAAUUUUCUAGAGGAAGUGAGUCGCUGGAGGUGGAGCUUCAGCCCUACUUCCUGUCUGCUGUCUAUUUCCGGACACAGACAGUAUGACCAACUAUCUCCACCUCCUGAUGCCACCCGUGCCUUCCCCGCCAUGAUGGACAGUGUCUCUUCAAACUAAUGGCUAAAGAGGCUGCAACAGAGUUCAAGGGAGGCUGUCUGAGAGGCAGACACAAGAGGCUGAUAGGGUGGAAAAGAGGAUGUCUGGAGAAGAGGGCACUGGGUCAAACAGUGAACUUGCUGGAUGUCUUGUUGGAGACACUCUGCAAUUGCUCCCAACAUGUGCAACUGAACAGCCUGCAAACUUUAUCAGCUCUGGGGUGACGCCUCCAGUCUCAAGGACACAGCUCUGUGGAGGAGCCUUUGAUUGGAACCUGGAACCGGGGCAGCGGUUUAGUGUUAGGGCCACUCUGUGCCAAGUCCAUGUGGGCUUUGCCGCGUUUCGUGGGAGGUGGUGUUUAUAAAGAUUUUGAUAUUCUAAAUCUUGCUCAAGGGCAGGCUCCUUUUGUCUACAACAAAUACGAAUCCAACUGGCGACAUUGCUGAGAACUAGAUGUUUGGGAAGUUCUUCCUAGAUGGGAGUGGAGUUUUCUGGAGGUCCUGUCCUUAAGACAUAAACACACAGAUAUGGCACUUCUGGGCCAGCAGGGGGCGCUCACUUUCCAUCCAAGCUGGCUGACCGCAGAACUAUGAGCCACUUACAUGCUCACUCACCCAGCGUGUGUGUGUGUGUGUGUGUGUGUGUGUGUGUGUGUGUGUGUGUGUGUGUGUGUGUGUGUGUGUGUGUGUGUGUGUGUGAGAGAGAGAGAGAGAGAGAGAGAGAGAGAGAGAGAUUCACUGACCAAAUAUUGUCUCAAAUCUAAGUCACACUGCAGCCCUGAGCCACUGCCUGGCACCCUGCUGAGCAACACAGCAAGAACACUGGGCACUUGCUUAACUCCAGUCCCCAAAGCCUGGGCAGCUCCAGGAAGGGCUGCUGGAGAUGAAGCUGGAGAAUCCUAGUGAGUUCCGGGGGCCCACAGUGGACUCUCCCUGAGGUUUCUCCUGGACAUACAGGAGAAAAGCAUUUUCAAACUUCCAUUUGGAGCUGGAGAGGUAGCUCAGCAGUUAAGAGCACCUGUUGUUGUUCUCACUAUUAUUAUCUCAUAUAUUACAUCCCAACCACAGUUUCCCCUCCCUUUCCUGCCCUGAUUCUCUCCCCACAUCUCCCCUCUCCCCCAGGUCUGUGCCCCCUUUAUUUCCCCUCAGAAAAGAGCAGGCCUCCCGGGGACAUCAACCAAACAUGGCAUAAUAUUCUACAAUGAAACCAGGCACAUACCAUCACAUCAAGGCUGAACGAGACAACCCAGUAGGAGGGAAAGGGUCCUAUAAGUAGGGAAAAGAGUCAGCAAACACCCUGCUCCAAUUGUUAGGUGUUGUGGAAUAUUAUUUUAACUGGGCAAAGAUGUGUUACAUCUGUUUAUGCUGUGGAAUGUUACUUUGACUGUGUAAAGGUGUGUUUCUUUUGUUUAUACUGCAUUUGUUUAAUUAUAUAAAGAUUUGCUACCUCUGUUUCACCUUGCCUGCCAAAGGCACCUGAUUGAUGUAAUAACGAGCUGAACGGCCAAUAGCUAGGCAGGAAAAAGAAUUGGUGGGGCUGGCAGGCAGAGAAUAAAUAGGAGAAAUCUAGGCUCAAGAAAAGGAAGAAUGAGAGAAGAGAGAUGCCCAGGGCCAGAAGCCAGACAAUCACCAAUCAGCCAGACAUAGAAACAGCAAGAAAGUAAGAAAAAAAGUAAAAAGCCCUGGAGCAAAACAGGUUAUUUAAGUUAAAAGAGCUAGCCAGAAAUGUGCUCAGCUAGGCUGAGCAUUCAAAACUAAGACUGAAUCUCCGUGUCAUGAUUUGGGAGCUUCCCCAAAAGAAAAAAGCCUGGUACAAUUAGGAGUACCACAAGAACACCAAGCUACUCAGCCAUAGAUUUUUGCAGAGAACCUAGAUCAGACCCUUACAGGCUCCCUGAUACCUUCGAGCCCCUAUGAGUCCUGGUCAAUUGAUUCUGUGGGUCAUGUUCUCUUGGUGUCCCUGAGUCCUCUGGUUCCUUCAAUCCUCCCCCCCCCCCCCCACCACCAACAGGACUCUCCGAAGGAGCACCUGUUUUUACAAAGGACUCCAGUUCAAUUCCCAGUACCCACAUGGUGGCUUGCAAUCAUCUAUAACUCCAGUUCCAGGAAAUCUGACACCCUCUUAGGCCUCAGUGGACCCUGCACACAUGUGGUACACAGACAUUAUAUAUGGGCAAAACACAUGCAUAAAAUUAACUAAAUAAAUAUGGUUUCUAAUCCUCCAUAUUGCAGAUGGUACUGUUCAGUGUAAUGUGCUUGCCUAGGAUGUCCAAAACUCUGGGUUUGAUCUUUAGCACUAGAGAGAGAGAAAAAAGAAAACCUUCAUUCUCUCUCUCUCUCUCUCUCUCUCUCUCUCUCUCUCUCUCUCUCUCUCUCUCUCUCUCAUUUUUAGGACAGGGUUUCUCUGUGUAGCCCUCACCAUCCUGGAACUUGUUCUGUAGACCAGACUGGCCUCAAACUCACAAAGACCCACCUGUCUCUGCCUCCCGAAAGCUGGGAUAAAAGUCAUGUUGUCACCACUGUCCAGCUUGAAAACCUCCAUUUUAAUUGGAAAAGGGGACAGUUGAGAGCUAGAUGCUAUAUUUGGUGUUUGGAGUCCAGGUCAAAGUUUAUCUAUUCUAGAAGGAUGAUCCAAGGAACUGCUAGGAUAAGAUGGUCCUGGAGUCACGUAAAAGAGCCUGGGUCAUGAGCCUGGGGGUUCCCCCAGAAUCACCCCUCAGUCAAACGUAGCACUGUGAGGCCAUGACAAGGGACCUGACACCUGAGACCACUGUUGGGUGAUUAAAGGUGGGCAGUGGUUGAAGCCACGUCCUGUGAGCGACGAAUGAGUUAGAAGUGAGAUUUCAUCACACAACUGAGAGGAGCACACAACUGAAAUCCUAGGAAGUCUUUAGUUCUAGAGUUUUCCAUUUAGUACUUUUGAAUGUCAGCCAACCAUGGUUCACUGAAACCUCAGAAAGAAAAACUUCAGGUGUGUGGGAGGCUGUUGCACCAUCACCAUAGUUGACAAGUGAGGACCCCAAGUUAAAAGACUUGGUUAUGUUGUCCAGCUGACAUUAGAGCUCAGAUCCAAACCCAUCCUGCUAACGAAGCCAUACACUGAACGCUGUAGGCAAUGACCAGGAAAUGGGCAAUUGCCACCAUGAGCCAACAAGGACAAAGGCCUCAGUUUCUGGGGGUAAAAGGCUGGAUUUGGAGCUGACGGCAUAGUCUCUAUCAGCCCUCCCUAAAACAAACUACAGUCUGAAUUGGAAACAUCUGCUCUGCUGAUUUGGCUGAUUCAUUCAACUUGUGGCCUUUCCCAGAAGCACCAUGGGAAUUCUUUAGUCUCUGUGGUCCUGCAGUUUGAGCUGCACAUACUCGUGGAGCGAUGGCCUGGUCAUGUGACCACCCACAAGUUUGUUUUAAUGUCAGUAUUUUAGGUGAGGCUACCAGGUUGUGCAGGUAUCAAGUGUGAACUUUAGGCUUCCCUUGUUCAGCCCCAGGACACAUGACAACAAACAUCACAAAUAUGGGGUUGAAAAGCAUCACUUUCCCUCUCAUAGUAUCCUGGAAGCCAAGCACAGCAGCUUUGUGGGUGUCAAGGAGGAACCCCAUUCCCUUAAGUGUGUUUCCUGUUGGCUGCUCAUGCUCCUUCCCCCUUUCCCAGGGUUCCCUCCAGCAGCAGUGGGUGAGUUUCUCCCAUGUUCUGUGCCCCGCUACACUUUUAUCUUCAGUGUCUCAGGACUGUAGCUAGAAAGGCUCUCUGCCUUUAAGGGCUCAUGUGACCAUGUUAGGCUCAUCCAUGUAAUCGAGGCUCUCCUCCCUAUUUUAAAUUCUGUCAUCUCAACUCCAUUCACAAAACUCCUUUUGCCAUGAGACAUCACAUAUUCACAGGUCUUGGGGACCGUGGUGGGGACAUCAGUGGGGAGGUAUUCUGCCUACAGAGGGUUAGGGGAAGAGUUUACGGAUCCUGGUGACAGAUGAUAACAUAAUGAAUCUGUUAUUUCUAAACGCAUCAAGACCUGUAAAAUCUCCCCGUUCUCCUGAGAGUCUUCCUCUAAAUAGAUCCCAACUAUGUGAGGAGAGGCGUGGUAGGAAUGUGUUUGAGGGGAGAGAGUGUAGGGUGGGGCCGUAACUGAUUUCCGCUGUCUUCUCUUUUGGAUCGGACUUACUCGGUGGCAAGUUUCUUUUGCUUAAAGCACUGUUUGACAAAUGUCACCUUCUCCAUGGAGACCACCCGUUUCUCAUCAUCACCAGCUGCCCCUCCUCCAACCGCCCACUCCCACUGCUAUUUGGAGUUGAAAGCUGUUCACUUUCAUAAAAUCCUCACCCUUGAGGUGUGUGUGGGUGCUGCUUAAUUCUCUCAUUGGAUACUGAUUUUAUUUAGAAAUCACUUAAAGGAGUCGUUAAAAAUGAAAAUUCCUGGGCAGUUUCUGGGAAACUGGAAAUGUUGCUUAGAUAUCUGGGUGUCGUGGCAGCAGAUACCUCUCUCUACUCUCAACAUUUGGGAGGUGGAGGCAGAAGGAUCAAGCGUUAUCCUUAGUGGGGUCAAGGCCAGCCUGAGUAGCUGAGUGAGAUUUUGUCUCAAAAAGCAAACAAAACAGCAACCAAUGAAAACAACAGAAAGAAAGAGAAGAAAGAAACAUUGCCUAGAAGAGGGUCUAGCUCCUUAUUCCCAACAAGCUAUGGGGCCCAAAUGCAGAUCUUAGCAUCUUCAGUGUCCAGAGGCCUCUGAUGAGAUACUGGAUUUGAAACGUCGCCACCCCAUGGUAGGAGAAGGAACUGCACCUCUGGUGUCACUGGACUGAGUUCCUGAGAGCUUAGCUCCUGUGCUCACAUUUCUUGUGUACAGUGCAUGCUAUUCAGGGCACUGGGGCUCCCAAAUAUGUAUCCUUCAAAAUUUGGUUAAAAGAAGGAAAAGUUAGGAAGACUCUCAGAGGUCUAGUAGUAGAAGUAUCGUUCAUGGAUGAGCAAUGCCCCUGGGCAAGCAAGCAGUCAUUAACACAGGAAGAGGGAACAGGAAAGAGACAUACAUUGGGUCCCAUAGUUUGAGUAGCUGAUCGAGGCACCCAGGCUGACACCUCUGCAGAGCCUCCAUUGUCUGGGGCUGAUUGGCAGGUGAGCCACCCUUCUGGUUGCCACUUGAACCCUGGGGCCUCAUCACCUCCCGACUGUGAAGCCCUAGUCCCCAUCUGCUUCCUUGGGAGUGUGGGUCAUAUUCACUCUUCCUUUUCCCUCAGUAACUGCCGGCUUCAUCCAGCCCCACCCCUGAACAAAAGCCCUGAUCCCCAGAGGCCCAGCCUCAGUGGGACCAGUUGAAUCUUUUAUCUUCAGUUUUGGAAAGUCAGGUCCUGAGUCCUAUUGUAUGUGACAUCCUUUCCAGCUACUUAAAAUGUCUGGAUUAGAUCUCCUGUUUUAUCAGUCUGCUGCAAACAGUGAAGCCUGGCCAGAGGCAAACUCUUUGCCACAGGCACUUCCUGCCCAGAGAAAUUGUUCUGGAAAUUUCCUGAAUGAAGCACCCAGUCUCCAAAAGAGGACCUGGUUUUUAAGAGUCUUCUAGGAGAUGCAAAUUCAGGCGGCAAUGUCUCCAAGAACAGAAUGGACCCCUUGACUUUUCCCUGCUUGGAAGUCAGAUGAAGUCUCCCUUAUGACUGCAGAUCUUUCUCCUAGGCCCACUCUUAGUUCCUACAGAACUUUCUUUAGGCCCAGGCAUGUGGCCGGCCAUCUGGUGACACCAUGGGGCUGUGGAUCUUCAAGGUCACCUAGACACUACAUCUUACAAAAUUAGCAUCAUCUGGGAAUGGUGCUCUUUGCUUCGCCCCUCAACCAUCAAGAGGAAGGCAUUCCACACAGGCCUCUGCUGUGACAGGAUGCUCUGGGACCCCUCAGAGCCUGCUGAUGCACAGUCAUUUUCUUUUAAGAUUUAUUUUAUGAGUGUGAUUUAAAAAAAAAAAAAUUGUGUCUGCUUGCACGUAUGUUCCUCCUUGGUACUCUCGGAGACCAGAAGAGGAAGUCAGAUCCCUUGGAACUGGUGGCUUUGAGCUGCCAUAUGGGUGCUGGGAUUAAACCUGGAUCGUCUGAAAGAACGGCCAGUUCUCCUAACCACUAAGCCAUCUCUCCAGCCCUGUAUGCAUGUAUAUAUUUGUGUGCAUGUGUAAGUGGACAUGUGUGUACAGUGCCGGCAGGGGCCAGAAGAGGGCACCAGAUCCCUCAGAGCUGGGCUUAGGGUUGGUUGUGAGCCACCAUUGUAAGCACCUGGAAACCAGCUGGGGUCCUCUCUAAGAGCAAGUGCUCUUAACCAGGGAGCCAUCUCUCCAACCUCUCCAUUUGCUUUCAGCAGCAGUAGUGUGUGUGUGUGUGUGUGUGUGUGUGUGUGUGUGUGUGUGUGUGUGUGUGUGUGUGUGUGUUGCAGUCUUUACAUAAUUUCUGAUUUAUUUUUUCCCCCUUUUUGGUGGAGAAUCCAUAAAGACAUUGGCUUUAGCGGUCCCCUAGCUCUCAGCGAUCUCUCAUCCAGACAGGAUGCAGUCUCCUCUUUGAACCUGGCUUUGCCAAGCAGAGUUACCCUCCUUCAGGAAUGGCAUGCAUGCUUGGAAUGUGAUUUUAUCUUAUCGGCCUCCUCCCCAGCUGCCAAGGUCCUAGCCAGGCUCCAUGGAGGGUUCCAGAAACUUUUUCUCUUUAAAGCCACUUGCCAGGAGCCUGCCCACUGCUCUUCUAGUUUCAACCUGUUGCUUCUGGGUCCCUCCUCUCCCAAUGACCUCUGGCCUCCUGCAAUGCUGAAUGCCUUGCGGGCGGGAGUGGGGGCUAUGGGGGAGAGGAUAAAAAUCAAAGUGAUUCUAGAAACUUCAUUGUGUACUUUGAUGUUUUGAAAAUUCCGUGGUGGAAGAAUAUGGAGUUCAGCUUUUAAUUAAUGAAAGCCCACCCCGGGGGACCAAACUAUGGGAUUAAGUCAAUAAUAAGUUCCAAAUCCAGGAAGCAGAUGUUCUGAGGUGCGUUUAUUUAUUCAGCAUGGACACGUGUGGUGCCGUGAUCUGGCUGCCUAAGUGCUCUUACAAGACCGGAAAUCCUUCCCAAGGAAUUUUAUACACGAGAAGCCCCUUUCCUGCCUCCUAGUUUCCAAGACUAUGCUUUGAAACUUAACACCUGGCUGGCUCGGUUCCCUCUGCAACUCAAGGUCUCCAUCAUCUGACCUUGAGCCCAUGACCUACUUGUUAGGGGAGCCUCCCUGACAGUAGGGAAGGUGAUAAAUUACCCCACAUAUAUUUGCCUUACAGACUAUUGUGUUGUCUUUAAGAAGAACGGUGCUUUAUUCUAAGAAAAUGACCGAGCACUGCGGUACCGUUCCACCGUGAACUAGCCCCAGUUGAAAAAUCUUUGUUCAAUGUGACAGCUGGAAAUGCAGACUACUCCCUUUCUGAGAUAGAAUGUGUGGGUAGUCCUGGCACUAACGUUUCAAUCAAGAGAGAUCGAAGGACUUGUGUGAUGGAGGCAUUCUAGGGGGUCGUGUAGCCCACAAUGGACCCCUUAAACUGCCUUUUACACUAAGGUAGGUGCUGGCUUCUUGCAGAAAGUGAUCAGUUCUCUGGUUAUGGCAGGGAUGUCACCUGACCCCACAAAGCUAGAGAACUGGAGACUUUCUUCUAAAUAUUGGGGACUACACACAAGACGUUAAUUUCUCCCAUGGGCUGGGAUCAUAACAUGUAAACCUGGGAUCUGGCAUUGGCCACUUCUUAUUCCAUUUUAUAUAUUUAUUUAUACUUUGUAUUCUUUUCAGUAUUAGGGAGUGAACCUAGGGCAUGAAGAAUCUGAGGCAAGCUCCUUAUUGCUGAGCUAGGUCCCCACCUCUCUGUCUUAGUUAGGUUUCCUAUUUCUGUGACCAAAAGCAGCAUGGAAAAGGUUUACUCCAGCUCACAGUUUGUAGUUCAUCCAGGGAAAUGGGGCAGUAUCUCAAAGCAGGAACCUGGAAGCAGGAGCUGAAGCAGAGGCCAUGGAAGAAUGCUGCUUACUGGCUUGCUCCUGGUGGCUUGCUCAACCUGCUUAUAGAACUCAGGACCACCUGCCCUGGGACUGGCACCACCCACAGUGAGCUGGGCCCUCCCACUUCAGUUGUCAAUCAUAAAAUACAUCACAGGCUUGCCAAUAGGCUAAUGUGGUAGGGGCAUUUCUUAGUGUCUCUUCCCUCUUCCAAAAUGACUCUAGCUUGUGUCAUGUUGACAUAACACUAGCUAACACACUUUUUUUUCCUUUUUUUUUUAAAUCUUAAGAUGAGGCCUUCAGAAGCUGUCCAGGCAGGCCUUUAACUCACUUAAACCUGGGCUGGUUUUGAAUUUAAUAAUCCCCUCCUAUCUCAACUUCCCAGUUGCUGGGGUGACAGGGCUGCAUCAUCAGGCUGGCUGGCAGCCAAUUCCAUACACCAGAUAGAUGGUGGAACAGAAGGAGUCUGUCUGGAAGGAGUCUCAAGAAAAAGGAAUUCAAAAUGGAGGCACUUUGGUUCGGGCAAUUCAACAGGUGUCUGGAGGCCAUUGGGCACACCCACCCAGAAGCAAGCUCACCCUGGAAGUACUGCUGACAUCCCCUAGCCCCCUCCCACAGCACUCCCACCCACCAAGUGAGCCAGAGGCUAAGCUAUCCCCAAGCUCUUCUUAACAGCUUAACUUUAAAUUCCUGACUAAUGGAUGAUGUCAUUGCCAGCCCCUUGAGGCUCAAAGCUAAACACAGAGCAUGUUUUUCUAGGCAGCUGGAGCCUGUGUUUUCCUAGACUGCAACCCUAAUUAGCCCCAAACAAAUGCAAUGCUCUUUGUGUUCCAGUGGGCUGAAUUUUCCCUUUUCUGAAUCUGCUUUGGGUGUCAAGUCUAACAAGACAACUUGGACCAGCCCUCUCCUCUCCUUCCUUCAUCUGAAAGAUUUCUGUUUUAGAUUCAAGUCUGUGAUGCAGUGUGAGGCAUGGCUCUGAGUCCAUUUGAUUUGACUUCUUUGUUUAUUUUUUUAUUUUUUUUUUUUUUUUGUCCAUAGCUGCUCAAGGUUGCUUUGUGCUGACUUUUGAUAGUCAAUCCCGCCUGCUCUGUGAUUCAUUUCAUUUUUGUAUUUUGCUUCCCUGGGAGCCUCAGGCUAGCCUGAGGGUUUGACUGAACAGAGAGAAAGCAUUUUUUGGAUCAUGUAACUCAGUACAGCAUUCCCACUGAACUUCCUGCCUAGCUUCACUCGCAGGGUUGAGAGAAUAAAUUGAAGGUAUGUUUGAGAAAGCAGUUUACAGUUGCAAGUCCACAGAGCAGAUGUGCAAGCUAUGUUUGCAUGUGUCGCGUGUUGGACAGUUUGGGACAAGUCCGACAUCCAGAGAGUAUAGCCUUUGCAACUGUAGCAUAUUUUCUGUUGAGGUGUUUUCUGGCACAGGCUGCUCCCCCCACAAAAAUACUGAUCUGGCUAGUCAUGUAUCCCUUAUCAGCCAAUAUUUUAUUUAUGUUCAAAGGGGCAAGUAACAAAGUAAAAAUAAGGAUAUUAAAUUUUAUUUUUUCUUUAUUUUUAUUUUGAGACACGGAGUCUCACUAUGCGUCCUGGCUGGCAUGGAACUCACUAUAUAGAUUUGAUUGGCCUUGAUUUAAGAGAAAUCCACGUGCCUCUGCCUCCCAAAUGCUCAGAUUAAAGGCGUGCACCACCAUGCCCAGGUAGUAAAUUUCUUUAUGAUACAUUAUUAGUAAUCGUAUGAUCUGUGUGACUAUGCAAGUAUAUCUAACUAUCUGGGGUCACACAAAAAUUUCCUGGGUUGAGAGUGGUUUGGGAAGGGUGAUGAGUAGAAACAGAAGCCUGAUGAAGCUUGCUGUGGGUUGUUUAACAAUGCAUAAUUACUGUGGAUCCCAGGAGCUCUGGCAAGUCUUGAACCAGAAGUAAUGUACACCAGAUCGCUCUGACUUUCUCCAGGACACUUGCACAGUCACAGUGUGCUCUCCAGAACUCACAAGCCUCCUAGUUCAUGUGUGCUCAGUACCAUUCCAAAAGACCAGCAGCAGCCAUGUCCAAACGGCACAAGUAACAGAAUCCAGCAAUUAAGGAAGUUGCUGCAGAGGUCCUGAGGUCACAUAUGACCCCCUCCUCCAGGGCCAGCAGGGACGAGAUAGGGGGAUGGGGAGACAUCAAGUAACUCUCUUGGGAAGUCUGCUUGGGCUCCAGAGAUAGGUGCCGGGCGCCCCUGGGCCUGGAGGACACUUACUGUGAACAUAUGAGAGUUCAUAUCAUCAAUGGUGACAAUGUUAGUAUUAAUAAAGGUGGGCUUCCUGCCUCCCCCUCCCCCUGCCCCCCACCAUGAGCAAUCAAAAGUUCAGAAGUGGCUCCCAACAGCUUUCCAUCCUCACUGAAUAGUAGCUGCCCUGCCACGAUGAAGCAUGACAGUUUGAGGUCUCUCCUUCUUUUUGUUAAUUGGUACCAUUUCAUAAAGACAGCCUGCCUCUCCAUCCUCUUUCUAAGGUAUUAUUUUAGAUCUGUGCAUACAUUCAAAUUGUGCCACAUUUAGCCGGCAGGAGCACUCUCUUGUCAGCCAUUCUUGCAUGCUUCUACAUUGUCUUUGGGCACAUCCUUAUUCUGAGAUUGGAAGACACUCGAGCUGACUUUGUCCCAUCUCUCACGGUGGUCUGGACCUGUCACUUCUCUCUUGGUAGAGACUGGUGUUUAGAACUCAAACUCGGGGUUCUCAUUACUGUCUGGUGCCACUAGGGAGACAAGAAAUACAUUUUUUAAAGUCAUGUAUCUACCUGGUGAAGCCUUUACCUUCAAUCCAGUGUCUGUUGGGUCACCCUCAGAUCCCCACAGCCCUGUAAGUUCACUUCUCCUUUCCCAUACAGACAUUUCCCAACACCUAUACAUGUACGCAGUCAUCCAUUCUUACAACUGGCAAACUAUUUUUGUAAGGGCCACCCCACUGCUGCUUCUGAAAAGAAAGACAUCAAGCAAUACUCAGCGUGUCUUUGCAGCUCCCUUGUCUUAAGAUGUCUCUCUCUGGGAAGAGUCCAGAGAAAACCCCCAAAGCCCAAUGAAUUGCAGUAUGCCUGUGGGGUGAUAUCAAUAUGAUAGACGGCUUCCUCCCCCCGCAUCUGCUUCUGAUCAAAAGCUAAUAAAUAACAAAUAAAUCAAAGUGGAAGAGAGUGUCUUUGCAGAAAGCACUUGGGGACUAUCUCCCAGGGCAUUAGAAUGGAGAUUUUAACUUCAGUUGAAGAGAUGGAUGUGAUGAAAACUGGGCCAGACUUCCAGAGGGUAGAUCUGGGCUGUCCAGCACAGUGACAGUGUGGUCCAAGUACCAGUGGGUCCACAAAGCCCUUCACUUUGACAAAGCUGGGCCAUAAAGCUGCAGGGAGUGGCCCAGCUGAGAAGUUCACUGGCAGUUUGACGGGUGCUUCAGGACUGUGGGCUGCUGUGUCUGAAGUACCAUAACCUCAAGAGGCUGGCUGCUGUCACAAAGAGGGGGGCCUGCAAUGGGACUUGAGAACAUCACAGGGACAGGAAAUCGCCUGCCUCAGGGACCUUCCUGCAUGUCCUAGACACCUAUCUAGUCACUUGAAGAUUUUCCCUCUGGCUGCUCCUGCUGCCCUUCUGCUGCCCUACUGCUGGUGAGGGGACUUCCUCCCUGCUUGAGUACCUAGUUAGGAGGCAACCCAACAUUCGUUCUCAGACCCUGAGAGUUCCCAGCAAAAGACUGGAAGAAAGACCUCCCGGCUCUCCAAACCAUGAAGAGCAUAACCAGGGCGAGGUCUGCCUGGGGCCGGGCUGAUGGAGCUGUUUGUUGAUGUCAAAAGCAGAAAAAGACAGGCUGUGCCCAAAACUGGGACUUUGGCUGUGCCUGCAAAUAAAUUGAGAACAUUUGGUUAUUUUAUAUGCUCUUUUCUUGUGUAUUGGGUUUUUUUUUUUUCUUUAAUACAUUUGGUGCUGGCAAGAUGAAAGGUAAAGUCACUUGUGACCAAACCUGACAACCUGAGUUUGAUCCCUGGAACCCACAUGCUGAAAGGAGAG